RNAcentral lists this long non-coding RNA (398 nucleotides) under Homo sapiens (human). RNAcentral describes it as "non-protein coding lnc-TUBB2A-8:3". Lineage: Eukaryota; Metazoa; Chordata; Mammalia; Primates; Hominidae. The record is from RNAcentral.
ACCGUUUGCCUAGAGCGUGAAACGGAGCGGGUCGCGCGCCCCGGCGCUCCGGACGGAAGGAGAAGGCAGCGUGGCGGCCCCACCCCGAGUCCCUGGCAGCCCAGACCUGGCGAAGGGUGAAGAAGCCUGGCUCCAGAACUAGGUGGUCAGGGGGUCAGGUAGUAGGAAGCCACGGAGCCGGCUCUCCCGGGUGCCUCGCGCCUCCCGGCGCCGCCCAGCGCCCUCUGCCCUGGACCUGCAGACUCGACGUCUGGGUGGGGGCAAGAGUGUUCCGAUGGCGCCUCGGCUCGCGCUUAGCGAUCCUGCGCUCGCUCACUCUGCAGCGCCAGCCUCGGGAUUAGGGGAGAGGAGUGUAGUGCGGAGCUGUAUGCAGAAGAGCGUGCGGCCAGCGGAGACCG